This 240-nucleotide unclassified non-coding RNA is filed under the name soil metagenome. Its description in RNAcentral is "partial contains 5.8S ribosomal RNA, internal transcribed spacer 2, and large subunit ribosomal RNA". The record is from RNAcentral.
AAGACUAUAGACCUGCGGAGUACCUGCGGAGGGAUCAUUAUCGAGUGUGACCCUCCUGUAAAAAAGGGGGUACCUCCCGUCCUUUUGCUAGGCCCUCCCCCUCCAAAAAUUUUUUUGACAGGGGGAAGCUUUUUCAAACCUUCUGCUUCGGUGGGUUUUAAACCCCGCCGGAACAACCUCAAAAAUUCUUUAUAAUUGUUCUGUCCGAGAAAAAUUUUAUUAAAAUGAAAAAACUUUUAG